AUUGAACGCUGGCGGCAGGCCUAACACAUGCAAGUCGAGCGGAUGAAGGGAGCUUGCUCCUGGAUUCAGCGGCGGACGGGUGAGUAAUGCCUAGGAAUCUGCCUGGUAGUGGGGGAUAACGUCCGGAAACGGGCGCUAAUACCGCAUACGUCCUGAGGGAGAAAGUGGGGGAUCUUCGGACCUCACGCUAUCAGAUGAGCCUAGGUCGGAUUAGCCAGUUGGUGGGGUAAAGGCCUACCAAGGCGACGAUCCGUAACUGGUCUGAGAGGAUGAUCAGUCACACUGGAACUGAGACACGGUCCAGACUCCUACGGGAGGCAACAGUGGGGAAUAUUGGACAAUGGGCGAAAGCCUGAUCCAGCCAUGCCGCGUGUGUGAAGAAGGUCUUCGGAUUGUAAAGCACUUUAAGUUGGGAGGAAGGGCAGUAAGUUAAUACCUUGCUGUUUUGACGUUACCAACAGAAUAAGCACCGGCUAACUUCGUG
RNAcentral lists this ribosomal RNA (484 nucleotides) under uncultured bacterium. Its description in RNAcentral is "partial 16S ribosomal RNA". It matches the Rfam family "Bacterial small subunit ribosomal RNA", at positions 30 to 507 of the family's 1533-position model. The record is from RNAcentral.